UUUCCUCUUCUCCUCCUCCUUCACUAGCGCCAACACAAGUUUUGCUUACCGACGUGUUUGUUGUGGCGAAAUUAUUCCAGCAGAGGAGAUGUGCAGAAAGUGUUUCACAUUUCUACCCAUUGGAGUUUGCUUGGUGGUAGAGCUGACCUACCAAACGGCACAAAUUGGUAGCUCUCUUUGUUAGGUGUAGAAAUUGAAGCGCUGGUGUGCUGCUGAAUGCUAGUCUGAUGCUCUUUUAGGGUUUGAUCUAUUGAUUUUUGUGAAAUUCAAAAUUAAUCUAUGUAAUUGAUAUUGCUGAAUUUGGUGUUUCUCUGUACUCUCGGUUGGGAGUUGUACAAUAAAAAGACAGACAGUUUCUAACAUAU
Long non-coding RNA from Andrographis paniculata, 365 nucleotides. RefSeq lists it as uncharacterized. NCBI's taxonomy places the organism in Eukaryota, Viridiplantae, Streptophyta, Magnoliopsida, Lamiales, Acanthaceae. The record is from RefSeq and is a predicted model, not a curated record. The transcript is spliced from 3 exons.